GGAUAGGGUGGGAUGAUAGCCGACGGACUCGAAAUCCGUUGUACCUCUUGGGGUACCGUGGGUUCGAAUCCCACCCUCUCCGCCA
RNAcentral lists this transfer RNA (85 nucleotides) under Gammaproteobacteria bacterium. Its description in RNAcentral is "tRNA-Ser". The stretch from base 7 to 82 matches the Rfam family "tRNA". From Rfam's summary of the family: Transfer RNA (tRNA) molecules are approximately 80 nucleotides in length. Their secondary structure includes four short double-helical elements and three loops (D, anti-codon, and T loops). Further hydrogen bonds mediate the characteristic L-shaped molecular structure. tRNAs have two regions of fundamental functional importance: the anti-codon, which is responsible for specific mRNA codon recognition, and the 3' end, to which the tRNAs corresponding amino acid is attached (by aminoacyl-tRNA synthetases). tRNAs cope with the degeneracy of the genetic code in two manners: having more than one tRNA (with a specific anti-codon) for a particular amino acid; and 'wobble' base-pairing, i.e. permitting non-standard base-pairing at the 3rd anti-codon position. The record is from RNAcentral. Lineage: Bacteria; Pseudomonadati; Pseudomonadota; Gammaproteobacteria. RNAcentral also lists the same sequence under 2 other names.